AGUGAACGCUGGCGGUAGGCCUAACACAUGCAAGUCGAACGGCAGCACAGUAAGAGCUUGCUCUUACGGGUGGCGAGUGGCGGACGGGUGAGGAAUACAUCGGAAUCUACUUUUUCGUGGGGGAUAACGUAGGGAAACUUACGCUAAUACCGCAUACGACCUACGGGUGAAAGCAGGGGAUCUUUGGACCUUGCGCGAUUGAAUGAGCCGAUGUCGGAUUAGCUAGUUGGCGGGGUAAAGGCCCACCAAGGCGACGAUCCGUAGCUGGUCUGAGAGGAUGAUCAGCCACACUGGAACUGAGACACGGUCCAGACGCCUACGGGAGGAAGCAGUGGGGAAUAUUGGACAAUGGGCGCAAGCCUGAUCCAGCCAUACCGCGUGGGUGAAGAAGGCCUUCGGGUUGUAAAGCCCUUUUGUUGGGAAAGAAAAGCAGCAGGUUAAUACCCCGCUGUUCUGACGGUACCCAAAGAAUAAGCACCGGCUAACUUCGUG
RNAcentral lists this ribosomal RNA (492 nucleotides) under uncultured bacterium. Its description in RNAcentral is "partial 16S ribosomal RNA". It matches the Rfam family "Bacterial small subunit ribosomal RNA", at positions 29 to 507 of the family's 1533-position model. The record is from RNAcentral.